Colletotrichum orbiculare MAFF 240422 is the source of this 72-nucleotide non-coding RNA. Lineage: Eukaryota; Fungi; Ascomycota; Sordariomycetes; Glomerellales; Glomerellaceae. The record is from Rfam.
AGCACGGUAGCUCAGGGGUAGAGCGCUGGGCUCAUAACCCAGAGGUCCUCCGAUCGAAACGGAGUCGUGCUA